RNAcentral lists this ribosomal RNA (531 nucleotides) under Pinnaspis aspidistrae. RNAcentral's name for it is "partial 28S ribosomal RNA". Lineage: Eukaryota; Metazoa; Arthropoda; Insecta; Hemiptera; Diaspididae. The record is from RNAcentral.
AUCUGGGCGGCGGAAUUCAGGAUGGUCGGGCGGGCUUCGCGCUCGUCGGGCCGUUUGAUAUUUCCGUCGCCGUGUCAGACGUCGCGACCUGUUCGUCGUCGGUCCUUGCUCGGAGGAAUCGCGUUCGAGUUCGUUGCGGGCGCGUUUCGGCGUGUCCCGCGGCGAAGGCGCGUCUUUCUGGCUGACGACGGACAGUAGGCAACGGUGUCCGGCGUCGUGUCUCGCACUCGGCGUCGGUACCGGUCAGCGACGAUUUCUUCGGGCCUCUUUCCGACCCGUCUUGAAACACGGACCAAGGAGUCUAACAUGCGCGCGAGUCGCGGGGUUUCGAGCGUGCCACGGUGCGCUCGUGACUUCCGAAACCCGUACGUUGAAGGCGUAAUGAAAGUGAACAGGGAAGAUGGCGUUCCGAGUCCACGUACCGUGAUCGAGUAUCGCGGCCGGACGCCCGCACUCCCGGGGCGUCUCAAUGGUUCGUCGCGGAUGCGGACGGUCGUCUCUCGGGGCGGCCGUCGGUCUGCGACGGUCCGA